Molecule: ribosomal RNA, 339 nt
Filed under: Triticum aestivum (bread wheat)
Lineage: Eukaryota; Viridiplantae; Streptophyta; Magnoliopsida; Poales; Poaceae
Description: partial small subunit ribosomal RNA
Source: RNAcentral
AUGUGCUUGAGCAGGCAUUUGGACCUAGGAUGGCGGGUGCAACAUCUCGGGGAGAAUCAAGUCGUCGUAAUGGCAUCUCUAGCCAGAACAGUUCAGUUGGUGCACGACGACGUGGUGGCUCGACAAGUGUGGGCAACAGUAGUAGGGUCCCCCUUGAAGUGGAGCCUGAUGGCUACAAUUCUGGGGUUGAUGAAGAGAAGUUAUAUUCUGAUGUUAUUCAGAAUUUACGACGGGCACAUAGGGCUGAAAACCAAGAUGAGGCUCACAAUGCAGUCCGUGUGGAUGAUGACGCAAUGGGUGAGGACGAAGACCUUGCAGCUGUUCAAUGGGACCCUUUGA